RNAcentral lists this ribosomal RNA (465 nucleotides) under uncultured bacterium. Its description in RNAcentral is "partial 16S ribosomal RNA". It matches the Rfam family "Bacterial small subunit ribosomal RNA", at positions 338 to 795 of the family's 1533-position model. The record is from RNAcentral.
CCUACGGGAGGCAGCCGUAGGGAAUCUUCCACAAUGGACGAAAGCCUGAUGGAGCAACGCCGCGUGGAUGAAGAAUGUCUUCGGAUCGUAAAACCCUGUUUUUAGAGAAGAAAAUGCGUGAUAGUAACUGUUCACGUUUCGACGGUAUCUAACCAGACAGCCACGGCUAACUACGUGCCAGCAGCCGCGGUGAUACGGAGGUGGCAAGCGUUAUCCGGAUUUAUUGGGCGUAAAGGGAACGCAGGCGGUCUUUUAAGUCUGAUGUGAAAGCCUUCGGCUUAACCGGAGUAGUGCAUUGGAAACUGUGAGAGUGGAGUGCAGAAGAGGAGAGUGGAACUCCAGGUGUAGCGGUGAAAUGCGUAGAUAUAGGGAAGAACACCAGUGGCGAAAGCGGCUCUCUGGGCUGUAACUGACGCUGAGGUUCGAAAGCGUGGGUAGCAAACAGGAUUAGAUACCCGGGUAGUC